UACAGAGGUCUCAAGCGUUGUUCGGAUUCAUUGGGCGUAAAGGGUGCGUAGGCGGCGCGGUAAGUCGGGUGUGAAAUCUCGGAGCUUAACCCCGAAACUGCAUUCGAUACUGCCGUGCUUGAGGACUGGAGAGGAGACUGGAAUUCUCGGUGUAGCGGUGAAAUGCGUAGAUAUCGAGAGGAACACCUGCGGCGAAAGCGGCCACCUGGACUGCACCUGACGCUGACACGCGAAAGCUAGGGGAGCGAACGGG
Molecule: ribosomal RNA, 253 nt
Filed under: uncultured bacterium
Lineage: Bacteria
Description: partial 16S ribosomal RNA
Rfam family: Bacterial small subunit ribosomal RNA
Source: RNAcentral